UACCCUACUGGUAUAUGGAAUCAGCCGAGGUGAUCCGAGUGCAUUGCUCAAUCGGAACUCCUUGAAUGUCGCGUGCACUCUGAGGCUUGUCCGAACGAUCGACUAAAAAUGACGUUUGUCUUCUCAACAGUUUCCGUAAAGUCCAAGUGCAUGAGAUGGCCGAACGAAGUGUAAUAAGUGACUGCUACAAGAUACUUCAGGUGCCUGUGAUUAACAUGGGUAGCGGUUAUUCCUUCACCAAACGCUCGGCAUUUGGAAUUGAGAGUGACGGGUCUGUCUACUUAAUGAAAAGAAGUUGGGUUUUAAUGGUGGGUGACAGACGAACAUGGAUACACUACAAAUCUAAAAACUCGCCGACCUCAAUGCUUACAGAGCGACAGGAUUGACAGAGAUGUGUCAACCUACUGUGUCCUAAUAAAGAUCUAACGUAACUUACCAGAGUCAUUGUAUCAUACCUACUGUGUCCUAAUAAAGAUCUAACGUAUAACUUACCAGAGUCAUUGUAUCAAACCUACUGUGUCCUAAUAAAGAUCUAACGUAACUUACCAGAGCCAUUGUAUCAAACCUACUGUGUCCUAAUAAAGAUCUAACGUAACUUACCA
This is a long non-coding RNA of Ostrea edulis (European flat oyster), 602 nucleotides long. RefSeq lists it as uncharacterized. Lineage: Eukaryota; Metazoa; Mollusca; Bivalvia; Ostreida; Ostreidae. The record is from RefSeq and is a predicted model, not a curated record. The transcript has 3 exons.